GCCAGGCAUGGUGGUGCACGCCUGUAAUCCCAGCUACUUGGGAGGCUGAGGCAGAAGAAUCACUUGAACCUGGGAGGCGGAGGUUGCAGUGAGCCAAGAUCAUACCACUGCACCCCAGCCUGGGUGACAGAGUGAGACUCUGUCUCAA
Molecule: non-coding RNA, 148 nt
Organism: Gorilla gorilla gorilla (western lowland gorilla)
Lineage: Eukaryota; Metazoa; Chordata; Mammalia; Primates; Hominidae
Rfam family: Metazoan signal recognition particle RNA
About the family: The signal recognition particle (SRP) is a universally conserved ribonucleoprotein. It is involved in the co-translational targeting of proteins to membranes.
Source: Rfam